Molecule: transfer RNA, 74 nt
Filed under: Ailuropoda melanoleuca (giant panda)
Lineage: Eukaryota; Metazoa; Chordata; Mammalia; Carnivora; Ursidae
Rfam family: tRNA
About the family: Transfer RNA (tRNA) molecules are approximately 80 nucleotides in length. Their secondary structure includes four short double-helical elements and three loops (D, anti-codon, and T loops).
Source: Rfam by way of RNAcentral
ACCUCACUGGCUCAGUUGCUAGAGCAUGUAGACUCUUGAUCUCAGGGUUGUGAGUUCAAGCCCCAUGUUGGGUG